UCCGGUUUGUCACCAGCAGUUCAAGCCCAGGUAAGGUUCUUCGCGUUGCAUCGAAUUAAACCACAUGCUCCACCGCUUGUGCGGGCCCCCGUCAAUUCCUUUGAGUUUCACCCUUGCGAGCGUACUCCCCAGGUGGAAUACUUAACAGGUUUCCUUCGGCACUGACCGUUGCCGGCCAACACCAAGUAUUCAUCGUUUAGGGCGUGGACUAC
RNAcentral lists this unclassified non-coding RNA (212 nucleotides) under uncultured Ignavibacteria bacterium. Its description in RNAcentral is "contains 16S-23S intergenic spacer region". Lineage: Bacteria; Pseudomonadati; Ignavibacteriota; Ignavibacteria. The record is from RNAcentral.